RNAcentral lists this ribosomal RNA (644 nucleotides) under uncultured bacterium. Its description in RNAcentral is "bacterial SSU rRNA". It matches the Rfam family "Bacterial small subunit ribosomal RNA", at positions 245 to 885 of the family's 1533-position model. The record is from RNAcentral.
CUUGUUGGUGGGGUGAUGGCCUACCAAGGCGACGACGGGUAGCCGGCCUGAGAGGGUGUCCGGCCACACUGGGACUGGGAUACGGCCCAGACUCCUACGGGAGGCAGCAGUGGGGAAUAUUGCACAAUGGGCGCAAGCCUGAUGCAGCGACGCCGCGUGGGGGAUGACGGCCUUCGGGUUGUAAACCUCUUUCACCAUCGGCGAAGCCAGAUGCUUUUGUGUCUGGUGACGGUAGGUGGAGAAGAAGCAUCGGCCAACUACGUGCCAGCAGCCGCGGUAAUACGUAGGGUGCGAGCGUUGUCCGGAGUUACUGGGCGUAAAGAGCUCGUAGGUGGUUUGUCGCGUUGUCCGUGAAAUUCCCUGGCUUAACUGGGGGCGUGCGGGCGAUACGGGCAGACUGGAGUACUGCAGGGGAGACUGGAAUUCCUGGUGUAGCGGUGGAAUGCGCAGAUAUCAGGAGGAACACCGGUGGCGAAGGCGGGUCUCUGGGCAGUAACUGACGCUGAGGAGCGAAAGCGUGGGGAGCGAACAGGAUUAGAUACCCUGGUAGUCCACGCCGUAAACGGUGGGUACUAGGUGUGGGUUUCCUUCCUUGGGAUCCGUGCCGUAGCUAACGCAUUAAGUACCCCGCCUGGGGAGUACGG